This 446-nucleotide ribosomal RNA is filed under the name uncultured bacterium. Its description in RNAcentral is "bacterial SSU rRNA". It matches the Rfam family "Bacterial small subunit ribosomal RNA", at positions 358 to 796 of the family's 1533-position model. The record is from RNAcentral.
GGAAUAUUGCACAAUGGGCGCAAGCCUGAUGCAGCCAUGCCGCGUGUAUGAAGAAGGCCUUCGGGUUGUAAAGUACUUUCAGCAGUGAGGAAGGAGGUAUCGUUAAUAGCGGUAUCUUUUGACGUUAGCUGCAGAAGAAGCACCGGCUAACUCCGUGCCAGCAGCCGCGGUAAUACGGAGGGUGCGAGCGUUAAUCGGAAUUACUGGGCGUAAAGCGCAUGCAGGUGGUUUGUUAAGUCAGAUGUGAAAGCCCGGGGCUCAACCUCGGAAUUGCAUUUGAAACUGGCAGGCUAGAGUACUGUAGAGGGGGGUAGAAUUUCAGGUGUAGCGGUGAAAUGCGUAGAGAUCUGAAGGAAUACCGGUGGCGAAGGCGGCCCCCUGGACAGAUACUGACACUCAGAUGCGAAAGCGUGGGGAGCAAACAGGAUUAGAAACCCGGGUAGUCC